This 867-nucleotide long non-coding RNA is filed under the name Triticum aestivum (bread wheat). RNAcentral describes it as "long non-coding RNA (TAES_LNC014644)". The record is from RNAcentral. Lineage: Eukaryota; Viridiplantae; Streptophyta; Magnoliopsida; Poales; Poaceae.
GCAACAAUCCUCACGUUAAGCAAUAUAUAAAUACAAUAAAUGGAAUUUAUUACUAUCAAAUAUUUUCCAUUGACCAUUCUCAUCAAGUUACAAGCUUAACCCGUGAAAAAAUUGGGAACAUCUGUUAGCUUUCCCCUACUAACGUUGGGAGAUAAUUCUGUCGACAGAGAAAAAUGUUAUGGUUUGCUUUUGAUCCAUGCUUCUCGUUCAAAGGCUCACUGUUGCUUUCGUACCGCAGACAUUACCCAAGACACAAGUUGCAUUGGUCCUGCUCCCUCUGCUGAAGAAGGCCAAACUCCAAGCACCACAGCAGAAAACAACACCUCUCCUGGGAGAAUUGAGGAGAGCCCAUUUAUCGUAAAACAGGUCAGCAAAUCAUCAUAAGGCCCGUGAUGUAGCAACCCUGCACAAGGUAUGUGACAUGAGAACGAUGGCAAUGAAUGAUGGAGCCAAACAUUGAUGAAAAGAAAUCCACCAAAAGGAAGAGGAAACUAAUUAUGACAAAUCAAACGCACCCUCCCUGCAUCUAUGGCAUGGUAUACUAUUAAUUGCAAAAACAAUUGAAAAUAGGGGACAAAAUCUAGCCCAUCAAAACAGAUUGAUUUACUAAUCACUUUCAAUCAUGCAGCCGAGCCUCAGAAACUGUGCAUCUUGUUCCUCAAGACAGUGACAUGCUUUUAGUUUGAACCAAAACCACGUCACUUAUUUUGGAGUGAAAUAGCAUAAAACUACCACUUUUCGCGUUAGGGUACCGAAAAACUACCAAAAAUUUGUUUGAGACUGAUACCUACCAGAAUCGGUGUCGGCUGUUUCAAAAAUCCCAAAUCGCCGAGUGCUUAUCAAUUGAACAUGAUUAUGACAGUUGGG